GUAGGGUGCGAGCGUUGUCCGGAAUUAUUGGGCGUAAAGGGCUCGUAGGCGGUUUGUCGCGUCGGGAGUGAAAACGCCGUGCUUAACACGGCGCUUGCUUUCGAUACGGGCAGACUAGAGGUAUGCAGGGGAGAACGGAAUUCCUGGUGUAGCGGUGAAAUGCGCAGAUAUCAGGAGGAACACCGGUGGCGAAGGCGGUUCUCUGGGCAUUACCUGACGCUGAGGAGCGAAAGUGUGGGGAGCGAACAGGAUUAGAUACCCUGGUAGUCCACACCGUAAACGUUGGGCGCUAGGUGUGGGAUCCAUUCCACGGGUUCCGUGCCGCAGCUAACGCAUUAAGCGCCCCGCCUGGGGAGUACGGCCGCAAGGCUA
Molecule: ribosomal RNA, 372 nt
Filed under: uncultured bacterium
Lineage: Bacteria
Description: bacterial SSU rRNA
Rfam family: Bacterial small subunit ribosomal RNA
Source: RNAcentral